AAACUUUCAACAACGGAUCUCUUGGCUCUGGCAUCGAUGAAGAACGCAGCGAAAUGCGAUAAGUAAUGUGAAUUGCAGAAUUCAGUGAAUCAUCGAAUCUUUGAACGCACAUUCCGCCCCUUGGUAUUCCGAGGGGCAUGCCUAUACGAGCGUCAUU
RNAcentral lists this ribosomal RNA (157 nucleotides) under uncultured fungus. Its description in RNAcentral is "5.8S ribosomal RNA". It matches the Rfam family "5.8S ribosomal RNA". Rfam says of the family: 5.8S ribosomal RNA (5.8S rRNA) is a component of the large subunit of the eukaryotic ribosome. It is transcribed by RNA polymerase I as part of the 45S precursor that also contains 18S and 28S rRNA. The record is from RNAcentral. Lineage: Eukaryota; Fungi.